Molecule: ribosomal RNA, 656 nt
Filed under: Tolypocladium sp. RG-2013a
Lineage: Eukaryota; Fungi; Ascomycota; Sordariomycetes; Hypocreales; Ophiocordycipitaceae
Description: bacterial SSU rRNA
Rfam family: Eukaryotic small subunit ribosomal RNA
Source: RNAcentral
AUAAGUUAUCGUUUAUUUGAUAGUACCUUACUACUUGGAUAACCGUGGUAAUUCUAGAGCUAAUACAUGCUAAAAAUCCCGACUUCGGAAGGGAUGUAUUUAUUAGAUUAAAAACCAAUGCCCUCUGGGCUCUCUGGUGAUUCAUGAUAACUUCUCGAAUCGCAUGGNCUUGCGCCGGCGAUGGUUCAUUCAAAUUUCUUCCCUAUCAACUUUCGAUGUUUGGGUAGUGGCCAAACAUGGUUGCAACGGGUAACGGAGGGUUAGGGCUCGACCCCGGAGAAGGAGCCUGAGAAACGGCUACUACAUCCAAGGAAGGCAGCAGGCGCGCAAAUUACCCAAUCCCGACACGGGGAGGUAGUGACAAUAAAUACUGAUACAGGGCUCUUUUGGGUCUUGUAAUUGGAAUGAGNACAAUUUAAAUCCCUUAACGAGGAACAAUUGGAGGGCAAGNCUGGNAACGUGCUGGUGCCGGAAAUAGCCACCCUCAGNAAACAAUAGGNUAGNCGAGNGCUCGNCAGNGACGNUGAGCACCGGCGAGACAACCUGNAUCGGGGAGGCUAAGGGCAUCGCGCCUAUGCUAAUCCCGAGCAGAGCCGCUGCGNGGCCUGUGUAGAGCACGCCAAGGUGUCGGUCCCGAGGCCGCCUCGGGCUUAAGG